AUUGAACGCUGGCGGCAUGCUUUACACAUGCAAGUCGAACGGUAACAGGGUGCUUGCACCGCUGACGAGUGGCGAACGGGUGAGUAAUGCAUCGGAAUGUACCGUGUAAUGGGGGAUAGCUCGGCGAAAGCCGGAUUAAUACCGCAUACGCCCUGAGGGGGAAAGUGGGGGACCGAAAGGCCUCACGUUAUACGAGCAGCCGAUGUCUGAUUAGCUAGUUGGUGAGGUAAAGGCUCACCAAGGCGUCGAUCAGUAGCGGGUAUGAGAGGAUGAUCCGCCACACUGGGACUGAGACACGGCCCAGACUCCUACGGGAGGCAGCAGUGGGGAAUUUUGGACAAUGGGCGCAAGCCUGAUCCAGCCAUGCCGCGUGUAUGAAGAAGGCCUUCGGGUUGUAAAGGACUUUUGUCCGGGAGCAAAUCCUAGUGGUUAAUACCUACUGGGGCUGAGAGUACCGGAAGAAUAAGCACCGGCUAACUACGUG
This 484-nucleotide ribosomal RNA is filed under the name uncultured bacterium. Its description in RNAcentral is "partial 16S ribosomal RNA". It matches the Rfam family "Bacterial small subunit ribosomal RNA", at positions 30 to 507 of the family's 1533-position model. The record is from RNAcentral.